UACGGAGGGUGCGGGCGUUAUCCGGAUUCACUGGGUUUAAAGGGUGCGUAGGUGGGAAUGUAAGUCAGUGGUGAAAUCUCCGUGCUUAACACGGAAACUGCCAUUGAUACUAUGUUUCUUGAAUUUUCUGGAGGUUAGCGGAAUAUGUCAUGUAGCGGUGAAAUGCUUAGAUAUGACAUAGAACACCGAUUGCGAAGGCAGCUAACUACACAGUUAUUGACACUGAGGCACGAAAGCGUGGGGAGCAAACAGG
Molecule: ribosomal RNA, 253 nt
Filed under: uncultured bacterium
Lineage: Bacteria
Description: partial 16S ribosomal RNA
Rfam family: Bacterial small subunit ribosomal RNA
Source: RNAcentral